UACGUGUUGGUAAUAAAGCUGUUAGAUUGUUUUAAGUUGUACCAAUAUCCACUAAUAAAAACUUUUCCUUUCCCAAGGUUUCUCAAUAGGGGAACAAGUAUCUUGCAAAAAACAGUUUCUUGAUAACAAAAGCCAGUAUCUUGCAGGCAGGAGCUUUAGACCGAGAAUGCCAACAGAAAGGAAGUGAGAAGAUAUUGUUGCUGCUGCUGCUAUUAUUUCUAUGAGAUCCUAGAGUUGUGAAGAACUGACAAAAGCUAAACAACGAUGUAAGGUGAUCCUGCAGGAGGUGAAGCCACAAUGGAAGUGAGUGGCCAAGGAGAACACCCAAAAUGAACUCUGAGAAUUGAAAUGUACAGUACAUCAUUGGAUCUGUCUUUGUUGGGAAAGAAGAACCCCCAUAUGGUGUGACUGGCUGGAACAAAAAUACAUCCCAACAGCAAAAUAAAUAGGUAAUAUACUUAAAGCUGAGAUGCAUAAUCCAAGACAAUAUUUCUGCAGAAUCAUGGAGAUUGGAAGCUUAGAAAAAUGAGAAAUUGAGGCAACCAAAGUAGACUGAUCCUUCCAUCCCUAAUCUCAAGUGCAUUUUGUACAUUCCUCAGUUGUCAGUCUCCAACAGGCUUCAGGGAAUGCACAUAUCACAUCUUCAUUUUGUAUACUCUCGAGGCAACAAAAUGGCAAAUGAGGUGCAAUGUAAGCAAGAGUAAAGCCCUCUCCAUGGAGUUUGAAUAGGGGCUCAGGGCUCUGCCCCCAAAGUCGUGCUGCUCCUCCUGCAUCUUUUUUGUGUAAAGGAUAAUAAAAUAGCUUUAACUAUCCAACAAGUCUGGUGCACCCGCUGGCCCUGAAAAGCAAGAUGAAAGACAGAAAAUGAGAAGAGGAAAUAGAAGAAUUAUAUGUAUAUAUCUUGUUAAACUAAAUCCCUAAAGUGCCCAAGAAGCAAUUCAUUUCCUUCCACAAUUAUAGACAUUCAUUUACCCAGUCCUGGAAAAUAUCAGCACUUACCA
Rhineura floridana is the source of this 1001-nucleotide long non-coding RNA. RefSeq lists it as uncharacterized. The record is from RefSeq and is a predicted model, not a curated record. The transcript has 5 exons. Lineage: Eukaryota; Metazoa; Chordata; Lepidosauria; Squamata; Rhineuridae.